Grammomys surdaster is the source of this 477-nucleotide long non-coding RNA. RefSeq lists it as uncharacterized. The transcript is spliced from 3 exons. The record is from RefSeq and is a predicted model, not a curated record. Lineage: Eukaryota; Metazoa; Chordata; Mammalia; Rodentia; Muridae.
UGUAGUUUAAAUCGAUGUGGUUUUGUUUGUUGGUCUGUAAUGCAUCUUCUCUAAAGGUUUUCAGAAACAAAGGGAGUACACAACUACAUUUUCACAUCCAUAUUGCAUGCUGUAGGACGGGAUGAAUAAAUCUGAUUGUUUUCAGGCAUCAGGGAAUCUACUUAUAACCAUCCUUCCUCGCUCACAUUGUUCAUUCCUACCUGGAAAAAUGUCUCCACAUGCUGUCGGGGAGCAUCUUCCUUGAGGACAGGGGGCUUCUGAAAUAGCUGAUCUUGUGUUUCCACCGAUGAGCAUGGAUGAAAAUGAUUUCCACCACUUUCUGCCCACAAAUCCUCAGUUAAACACCACCUCACUGCAGGAGAUGCUGGGAAGAGCCUAAGCAUGUGCUCACCGAGUACAUGGACUCCAACAGCCAAUAGUUGGUGUGGCCUUCUUUAUUUUGUUAAACAGUUAUGAUACAUCUGUUUGUAGUUUCCU